AAGUCGUAACAAGGUUUCCGUAGGUGAACCUGCGGAAGGAUCAUUAACACGUAUCCAACGUUAAACAACCCUGUGAACCUUGAACGUGCUCUCGCACACGCUCUAGCAGCAAUCCCUGGUAAAUCAUUGUUGACCAGCUAUUGAGUCAGGGACCUCUGCUUUAAAACGAUGCGAUACGAGCGCCAGAGUAAGUGCGCGCAGUAAACGAUCGCUGUAGGCCCACACGGCCGGCGACCGGGCCUCUGUGCUUCGGCACCUAACGACCCCAUGUUUCGUACCCGGUGCGCUGUAACAACCGCACCACAAACUCGAACAACUGUUAACAAUGGAUAUCUUGGUUCUC
This 343-nucleotide unclassified non-coding RNA is filed under the name fungal sp. RNAcentral describes it as "partial internal transcribed spacer region". The stretch from base 1 to 46 matches the Rfam family "Eukaryotic small subunit ribosomal RNA", at positions 1786 to 1831 of the family's 1831-position model. The record is from RNAcentral. Lineage: Eukaryota; Fungi.